CCAAGUUGUAUAUUGAGCCUAACCCUAGCCCUUUUAAGGGGCACUGUGUGGAACGGCCCAGGCUCCCCAGAUCGAAACUUCUCACUCUUCACCAUCCAUUCCUCGAGCCGCUGUGAAGCAGUCCUCAAGCGGCAGUUAUGGCAGUCCAUAAAGGCUCGGGCACAGCUGGAAGCACACGUGACACAGAUGAUGGAACAAGUCCAGCUAGAAACAGAUGAAUAUACUCAACAUCUAAAAGGAGAGAGGGCCCGGUGGCAGCAGAGGGUAUGGAAAAUGUCAGAGGAGGUUUGCACAUGGAAGGAGGAGAAGAAGCAUGACAGGCAUCGCGUACAGGAGCUGGAGAGGAGCUUGGCCGAACUCAAAAACUAGAUGGCUGAACCCCUGCCCCCGGAGCCCCCAGCAGGGCCCUCUGAGGUGGAACAGCAGCUACAAGCUGAGGCCGAGCACCCGAGGAAGGAGCUGGGGAGUCUGGCAGGACAGCUCCAAGCUCAGGUGCAAAACAAUCAAGGCUUGAGUCACCUGAACUGGGAGCAGGAGGAGAGGCUGCUGGAACGGGAGACGCUGCGGGAGCAGGAGAGGCUGCAGGAGCUGGAGGAGAAGCUGCAGGAGCAGGAGAGGCUGGGAGAGCGGGAGGAGAGUCUGCAGGAGUGGGAAGAGAGUCUGCGGGAGCGGGAGGAGAGUCUGCAGGAGUGGGAGGAGAGUCUGCGGGAGCGGGAGGAGAGGCUACGGGAGUGGGAGGAGAGGCUGCGGAGCAGGAGGACAGGCUGCUGGAGCUGGGGCGGAAAGCCAAGCUCUGGGAGGAGCAGGCAGAGACAUGCAUGCAGGCCCUGCGGAACCACACCACCAUCAACCACGCGCUGUCUCAGAACCAUGAGCUCGACUAGCAGCUGGCUGGGCCACCGAGCGGCUUUUGGAGCAGCAAGUAAAGGAGCUGCAGGAGAAGCUGGGCAAGCUGAAGGAGACUGUAAUCUCUGCCCAUCCAAGAAGGGCUGGGAGGAGCACCUGGAAGGUACCAGCCAGCAGAACCAGCAGCUACAGGCCCAGUUGAGCCUCAUGGCACUCCCUAGGCAAGGAGAUGGAGGAGAACAUCUGGACAACGUGGAAAAGGAGGUGCCUUGGCCCAUGCUGAGCAUCCCGGAGGACCUGGAGAGCAGGGAGGUAAUGGUGGCGUUUUUCAACUCCGCUGGAGCCAGUGCCCAGGAGGAGCAGGUAUGGCUAUGUGGGCAGCUGAAGGAGCAAAGGGUGUGGUGCCAGCGCCUGACUCACCCGGGUGGCCUUGGCCCAGAAGGAGCCAGAGGUAGUGGAACCAUCCCCAGGGACUGGGGAUGAGUCUGUGUGUGGGUAGACUCAUCAGGCCCUGCAGGGGUCCAUGGAGAAGUUGCAGAGCGGCUUUAUGGACCUCCUGAAGGAGAAGGUGGACCUGAAGGAGUGGGUGGAGAAACUAGAGCUUCGAUCCAUCCACCUCUCAGGACAGACAGACACCAUCGGAAAGUAAAUCACAACAUAUGAGGGCCAGAGGGCAGCGCCAAAGACGCGGCACCAGGGGGAGGAGGACAUCAUCAGUCUGGCCCAGGACAAAGAGGAGAUGAAGAUGGGGCGUGUGAAACUGCUGGAGCUGCAGGAGCUGGUGUUGCGGCUUGCAGGUGAUCACAAUGAGGGGCAUGGCAAAUUCCUGGCCGCUGCCCAGAACCCUGCUGAUGAUCCUGCUCCAGAGGCCCCAGCCCCUCAGGAGCUUGGGGCUGCUGACAAGCAGGGUGAUUUUUGUGAGGUGAGCCGACAGCCUGGAGCCUGCACCAGGAGAGGCCAGGGAGGGUUGUCCCCAUGACAACCCCACUGCACAGCAGCUCAUGCAGCUGCUUCCUGAGAUGCGGGACCCCCAGGAGUACCCAGGCUUGGGCAGCAGCCCCUGCAUGCCAUUGUUUUACCAGGCUGCCAAGAACAGGGAGCUAAACAUCACCAUCAUCUAAGAGCUGGUCAAGAAAUUAAAAAAGAAGAAAAAAAAGUUAUGGGGUUAAUCUCCUACACAAUUCAUUUACUUCGUUUGAAUGUUAGAGUCACUCAUGAUUAUUUGUGUUUCUAAUUUAUAGUUUACAUUUAUUUGUAAAAAGUUAAAGGAGAGUGGGUCUUUCCCUGUUGUUCACUCUGGCAUCCCUUAGUAUUUUUCUUUUUUAAUUCCAUAAUUGUAGGUCAUUAGAAUGCAUAUGGAGUUCGCCCUUACAUGGUGGGAAUUCAAACACACAGACUCACUAUUUGCACAAAACUGUUCUUUCUGGUUUGGAGUAGGCCGCCAUGCUUUUUUAAUGUUCUUGCAGCAUCUAUAUUCAUUACAGAAUUCAGAUAAAAUUUGCUUAUGUUCUGCUGUUAUGUUUGAUCGAAUUCGAAUCAUGGUAAGCUCAUUAGCUCAAUAUGUGGUUUGCCCUCAAGUGCACACUGUUUAUUACUUUGUAAUAUGCCACUAUGAGUACUGACAUUUAGAGUUGUUUAAAGGCCAAGACUGGAAACAGCCCUACCCUUAUUUUCUGUGUAUUGGGGAUGGGAGUAAUAACAUUUUGGGGAGCUUUUAAAAUCUCACAGAGAGGAAAAUGGCCUGCUCUGGCAGGUGUGUGCAGGAUAGAGUAUGUCUCAUGUGUUCCGGUGCCAAGAAUGAGCACUGUACUAUGGUAGUUCCCUUAGGAUUUGUAUGUGCUCUGGGCUCAUGAAGAUAUUGCAUCAUGAGUUGUGGCCGUUGUACCCUUUUUUGAUUACCUAAAAAGGGAUUAUUUCUGAGACAUGAAAGGCUCCCAUCAUUGACUGUGGAUGUGGAAAACCUUUCCUAGCUUAGAGCAUUUAUAUCUAUAAUACAUUUUAAAGUCAGAGUUCAUGUUACCUGUUUUAAUGACAUGACUACAUGUCCCAGUAGACAAAAGGGCACUGGUGGGCAUUCUUCUUAAAGUAUUUAGUAAAGAUCAUAAGAAAUCCUUUAAAAGUUUAAAUGUCCCA
This is an RNA transcript of Gorilla gorilla gorilla (western lowland gorilla), 2979 nucleotides long. It is a transcript of the gene named golgin subfamily A member 2-like, with no coding region annotated. The transcript is spliced from 12 exons. NCBI's taxonomy places the organism in Eukaryota, Metazoa, Chordata, Mammalia, Primates, Hominidae. The record is from RefSeq and is a predicted model, not a curated record.